Long non-coding RNA from Zophobas morio, 313 nucleotides. RefSeq lists it as uncharacterized. NCBI's taxonomy places the organism in Eukaryota, Metazoa, Arthropoda, Insecta, Coleoptera, Tenebrionidae. The record is from RefSeq and is a predicted model, not a curated record. The transcript has 3 exons.
UAAUGAGAGAGCUUUACCUAAAGUUACCCGGCUGGAUAAGCCUGGCCGUGUCACUAUCGGACCUUGCAAUUCAGGUCUUACUUUUCCGAGUGACGACAAAAAGGUUUUACAACAACCUCAGGGUACAGUAACGGCUAUUAAACAUUCACUAUCUUCUACAAAACCUAAGGAAGUCACGGUUUUAACAAAAAAUGGGAGCCAAUGCUCUGCAUUUAUGUGGAGUCAAAGCACUAAUGAAGUUCAUCUUUCUCUUUUUGUUCCUGAAAACACUCAAGGGAAAUUUGUAACCAUCAAUUUAACUAGUAAAGAAUUA